This 107-nucleotide small nuclear RNA is filed under the name Octodon degus (degu). Lineage: Eukaryota; Metazoa; Chordata; Mammalia; Rodentia; Octodontidae. The record is from RNAcentral.
GUGCUCACUUCAGCAGCACAUGUACUAAAAUCGGAAUGGUACAGAGAAGAUUAGCGUGGCCCCUGCACGAGGAUGACACGCAAAUACGUGAAGCGUUCCAUACUUUU